GACGAACGCUGGCGGCGUGCCUAAUACAUGCAAGUAGAACGCUGAAGAGAGGAGCUUGCUCUUCUUGGAUGAGUUGCGAACGGGUGAGUAACGCGUAGGUAACCUGCCUGGUAGCGGGGGAUAACUAUUGGAAACGAUAGCUAAUACCGCAUGAUAUUAAUUGUCGCAUGAUAAUUAAUUGAAAGAUGCAAUUGCAUCACUACCAGAUGGACCUGCGUUGUAUUAGCUAGUUGGUGAGGUAACGGCUCACCAAGGCGACGAUACAUAGCCGACCUGAGAGGGUGAUCGGCACACUGGGACUGAGACACGGCCCAGACUCCUACGGGAGGCAGCAGUAGGGAAUCUUCGGCAAUGGGGGGAACCCUGACCGAGCAACGCCGCGUGAGUGAAGAAGGUUUUCGGAUCGUAAGGCUCUGUUGUAAGAGAAGAACGGGUGUGAGAGUGGAAAGUUCACACUGUGACG
RNAcentral lists this ribosomal RNA (463 nucleotides) under Streptococcus sanguinis. RNAcentral's name for it is "bacterial SSU rRNA". It matches the Rfam family "Bacterial small subunit ribosomal RNA", at positions 28 to 474 of the family's 1533-position model. Lineage: Bacteria; Bacillati; Bacillota; Bacilli; Lactobacillales; Streptococcaceae. The record is from RNAcentral.